AACCUUUCGGGUUCUUAAAGGUAGGGUUGAGUGCAACAGUAAACACGUUAAGCAUCCCGCCUGGGGACUACGGCCGCAAGGCUAAAACUCAAUGGAAUUGACGGGGACGCGCACAAGCAGUGGAGCGUGUGGUUUAAUUUGACGGUAAGCAAAGAACCUUACCAAGGCUUGACAUUUACCUGCACGCCUCUAGAAAUAGAGGAAGCCUUCGAGGGUGGUAAACAGACGCUGCAUGGCUGUCGUCAGCUCGUGUCGUGAGAUGUCCGGUUAAGUCCGGUAACGAGCGCAACCCUUAUCCCGUGUUAUAUGUGUCUCGGGAAACUGCCUGGCCAAAACCAGGAGGAAGGUGGGGAUGACGUCUAGUCCGCAUGGCUCUUACGCCUUGGGCUACACACGCGCUACAAUGGCAAGUACAACGAGCAGCAAAGGAGCGAUCCGGCGCUAAUCUCUUAAAGCUUGUCUCAGUUCGGAUUGAAGGCUGAAAUUCGCCUUCAUGAAGUUGGAAUUGCUAGUAAUCGUGGGUCAGCACACCACGGUGAAUACGUUCUCGCGUCUUGUACACACCGCCUGUCACGUCUCGAAAGCUGGGAGUACCUGAAGCCGUUUGAUUCUUCGGAUGAAAGCGAUUAAGGUAAAUUCAGUGAUUGAGAUGAAGUCGUAACAAGGUAGCCGUAGA
Molecule: ribosomal RNA, 676 nt
Filed under: uncultured bacterium
Lineage: Bacteria
Description: bacterial SSU rRNA
Rfam family: Bacterial small subunit ribosomal RNA
Source: RNAcentral